CUACGGGGUGCAGCAGCUGCGGAAACUCUACAAUGCGUGAAAACGUGAUAGGGGGAUUCCAAGUGCUUGCGUUUCGGCGUAAGCUUUUGUUAUAUGUAAAAAGUAUGACGAAUAAGUGGUGGGUAAGACGGGUGCCAGCCGCCGCGGUAACACCUGCGCCACAAGUGGUAAUCAUGUCUAUUGGGCCUAAAGCGUUCGUAGCCGGUUUGAUAAAUUCUGAGUGAAAUUAUUCUGCUUAACGGAAUAGCGUGCUUGGAAGACUGUCAGACUAGGGACCGGGAGACGUUAGAGGUAUGGGAAGGGAAGCGGUAAAAUGUGAUAAUCCUUCUUAGACCACCGAUGGCGAAGGCAUCUAACGAGAACGGGUCCGACGGUGAGGGACGAAAGCCAGGGGAGCAAAAGGGAUUAGAUACCCCGGUAGUC
This 423-nucleotide ribosomal RNA is filed under the name uncultured archaeon. RNAcentral's name for it is "partial 16S ribosomal RNA". It matches the Rfam family "Archaeal small subunit ribosomal RNA", at positions 323 to 746 of the family's 1478-position model. The record is from RNAcentral.